Molecule: ribosomal RNA, 491 nt
Filed under: uncultured bacterium
Lineage: Bacteria
Description: partial 16S ribosomal RNA
Rfam family: Bacterial small subunit ribosomal RNA
Source: RNAcentral
AGUGAACGCUGGCGGUAGGCCUAACACAUGCAAGUCGAACGGCAGCACAGUAAGAGCUUGCUCUUACGGGUGGCGAGUGGCGGACGGGUGAGGAAUACAUCGGAAUCUACUUUUUCGUGGGGGAUAACGUAGGGAAACUUGCGCUAAUACCGCAUACGACCUACGGGUGAAAGCAGGGGAUCUUCGGACCUUGCGCGAUUGAAUGAGCCGAUGUCGGAUUAGCUAGUUGGCGGGGUAAAGGCCCACCAAGGCGACGAUCCGUAGCUGGUCUGAGAGGAUGAUCAGCCACACUGGAACUGAGACACGGUCCAGACUCCUACGGGAGGCAGCAGUGGGGAAUAUUGGACAAUGGGCGCAAGCCUGAUCCAGCCAUACCGCGUGGUGAAGAAGGCCUUCGGGUUGUAAAGCCCUUUUGUUGGGAAAGAAAAGCAGCAGGUUAAUACCCCGCUGUUCUGACGGUACCCAAAGAAUAAGCACCGGCUAACUUCGUG